RNAcentral lists this long non-coding RNA (1500 nucleotides) under Numida meleagris (helmeted guineafowl). Its description in RNAcentral is "lncRNA (ENSNMEG00000004130.1)". Lineage: Eukaryota; Metazoa; Chordata; Aves; Galliformes; Numididae. The record is from RNAcentral.
GGGGGGGAGGGGACGCACAGGGACCAAGGGACAACAGGGACACCAGUAUCACCAGUAUCACCAGUAUCACCAGUAUCACCAGUCCCAGUGUCACCAGUAUCACCAGUAUCACCAGUCCCAGUGUCCCCAGUGUCCCCAGUCCCAGUGUCCCAAGUCCCAGUAUCACCAGUGACACCAGUCCCAGUGUCACCAGUAUCACCAGUGUCCCCAAUCCCAGUAUCACCAGUGACACCAGUGUCCCCAGUCCCAGUGUCACCGGUGUCACCAGUGACACCAGUGACACCAGUCCCGGUGUCCCCAGUAUCCCCAGUGUCACCAGUGUCACCAGUGUCCCCAGUCCCAGUGUCCCCAGUCCACCCAGUCCCAGUCCCCCCAGUCCCAGUGUCCCCAGUGUCACCAGUAUCCCCAGUGUCCCCAGUCCCAGUGUCACCAGUGACACCAGUGACACCAGUGACACCAGUAUCACCAGUCCCAGUGUCCCCAGUCCCAGUGUCACCAGUGUCCCCAGUGUCCCCAGUGUCCCCAGUCCCAGUGUCCCCAGUCCCAGUGUCACCAGUGACACCAGUCCCAGUGUCCCCAGUCCCAGUGUCCCCAGUGUCCCCAGUGUCCCCAGUCCCAGUGUCACCAGUAUCACCAGUGUCCCCAGUGUCCCCAGUCCCAGUGUCACCAGUAACACCAGUGACACCAGUCCCAGUCCCCCCAGUCCCAGUGUCCCCAGUGUCCCCCAGUCCCAGUGUCCCCAGUAUCACCAGUCCCAGUGUCCCCAGUCCCAGUGUCCGCAGUCCCAGUAUCACCAGUGUCCCCAGUCCCAGUAUCCCCAGUCCCAGUAUCACCAGUGACACCAGUCCCAGUGUCCCCAGUGUCACCAGUAUCCCCAGUGUCCCCAGUGUCCCCAGUCCCAGUGUCACCAGUGUCCCCAGUCCCAGUAUCCCCAGUUCCAUCCCAGUAUCCCCAGUUCCAUCCCAGUUCCAUCCCAGUUCCCUCCCAGUUCCUUCCCAGUUCCGUCCCAGUUCCAUCCCAGUUCCCUCCCAGUAUCCCCAGUUCCAUCCCAGUUCCAUCCCAGUUCCCUCCCAGUAUCCCCAGUUCCAUCCCAGUUCCCUCCCAGUAUCCCCAGUUCUCUCCCAGUAUCCCCAGUUCCGUCCCAGUUCCAUCCCAGUUCCAUCCCAGUAUCCCCAGUUCCCUCCCAGUUCCCUCCCAGUAUCCCCAGUUCCAUCCCAGUUCCCUCCCAGUUCCCUCCCAGUAUCCCCAGUUCCAUCCCAGUUUCACCAGUUCCAUCCCAGUUCCAUCCCAGUAUGCCCAGUUCCGUCCCAGUUCCAUCCCAGUUCCCUCCCAUUUCCCUCCCAGUAUCCCCAGUUCCCUCCCAGUUCCAUCCCAGUAUCCCCAGUUCCAUCCCAGUUCCCUCCCAGUUCCCUCCCAGUAUCCCCAGUUCCCUCCCAGUUCCAUCCCAGUAUCCCCAGUUCCAUCCCAGUUCCCUCCCAGUAUCCCCAGUUCCCUCCCAGU